AGUGAACGCUGGCGGUAGGCCUAACACAUGCAAGUCGAACGGCAGCACAGUAAGAGCUUGCUCUUACGGGUGGCGAGUGGCGGACGGGUGAGGAAUACAUCGGAAUCUACUUUUUCGUGGGGGAUAACGUAGGGAAACUUACGCUAAUACCGCAUACGACCUACGGGUGAAAGCAGGGGAUCUUCGGACCUUGCGCGAUUGAAUGAGCCGAUGUCGGAUUAGCUAGUUGGCGGGGUAAAGGCCCACCAAGGCGACGAUCCGUAGCUGGUCUGAGAGGAUGAUCAGCCACACUGGAACUGAGACACGGUCCAGACUCCUACGGGAGGCAGCAGUGGGGAAUAUUGGACAAUGGGCGCAAGCCUGAUCCAGCCAUACCGCGGGGGUGAAGAAGGCCUGCGGGUUGUAAAGCCCUUUUGUUGGGAAAGAAAAGCAGCAGGUUAAGACCCCGCUGUUCUGACGGUACCCAAAGAAUAAGCACCGGCUAACUUCGU
RNAcentral lists this ribosomal RNA (491 nucleotides) under uncultured bacterium. RNAcentral describes it as "partial 16S ribosomal RNA". It matches the Rfam family "Bacterial small subunit ribosomal RNA", at positions 29 to 506 of the family's 1533-position model. The record is from RNAcentral.